Sander lucioperca (pikeperch) is the source of this 176-nucleotide long non-coding RNA. RefSeq lists it as uncharacterized. NCBI's taxonomy places the organism in Eukaryota, Metazoa, Chordata, Actinopteri, Perciformes, Percidae. The transcript has 2 exons. The record is from RefSeq and is a predicted model, not a curated record.
UUUUAGCUAACGUUAGCUAGCAUGUCAAACAGGGCUAUCAGUCUUUCAAUGGCUCUGGAGCUAGUAAAUCAGCACAUAGGAGAACGUAAAGUCACACGUCAACUAAGCAGGUAGCUACCUGAUACAACUAUGAAAUAGCAAGGUGACCAGUAAAACUACAGCAGACGACUACCCCU